CUCUCCCGCACUUGCACAGCUCCUCGCCUCUUCCUCCCGUCCCCGCCUCCUGCCCACUCUACCGCCUCGGUCGCCGGCCGAUUCCGGCCGCUCCGGUGUGCUCCGGCGCCACCCAACACACACAGGGCUGCUCCUCGACGAGCUUUACUAGCUUCACCGUGUUGAUCUACUUUUCCUUGCCUCCUGCGGUCGCCCCCAUCAAUUUCCCCCACUAGGGUUUCGGUGGUGGAGGUAGAUCUCGCCUCCGGUGGCCGCCUGCUCGUUGCCCCGUUUUCUCGAUCCCCAUGGAUUCGUCCCUACAGGUGAGAAGAUGUAGAGGGAGGAUAGGAGGAGGUAGGCGCACUGGGACGGGGGGGUCUCGCCGGCGACUAUAGGGCUGGCCGGCCGGAGUUGGAUCGAGCUCCCGGCCCGCAUCGCUUCCCCGUUGUCAGGCCGCAUGCUGCUCCGCCCUUCCACCUCCCCUCCCAUCGUUCCCCUCCCUAACCUAGGAGUGGGUGAGGAGGCUAAGCCGCUGGCCCUCGGCACCUCCUGUUCGACCACGCUGAGGAAGCACUUGACCUUCAUCCUUGCGUCCGUGUGCCUCUGGGAAGAAGACCUGAGGUACAGAUCUUCGGUCGUCUUCGACUAUGCUCGGAGAGGUGUCACGGUCUGAGAGGAUACAGUGGGAUGGCUCCAUCUGCUAGACUGAUUUGUCUUUUGUUAACUCCUGCUCACAACUCCUUAGUUUGUUUUAUAUGUGUGCAGACAAAUUAGUGGGCAUGAUUUAUAUGUGUGCAUAUGGACAAAUUCGCUCGGAACAGAAUGACCCCUCUCCUUCCCUUUUGUUUGGUUUCACUUUGUGCCAUCAUUUGAUUGGUUGACGGGCACAAAAAGGAAGGGAGGACAGUGUGCUUCCUGCCUAAGUUAGUGUUAUAUAUUUUUGUCUGAAUUUUAGUUUACAUGACACGACACCCAAUGGCAUAUAGGAUAUUUUCAACUGUUUUUUGGGUCAAAUGACAAUUAUAGUAAUUAAAAUGACCCCAUUAGUAAUAUCUGUCAUCUCUUUAAUUCAGCCUUAUAAAUCAGGACCUGCGAUAGAUGGUGUGCGGUUUUUUAUUUCAGAAUAUUGUUAGCCCAACAUGCAUGAUAUUCGUGCAUUAGCCACAUGUAUGUUAGUCCCAGAAUGAAUUUUUUACUAUGGAUGGUACCACUUAAAUAUUUUGAACCACAUCUAAAUUUCACAUUUGCUUCUCUGUAUACAUGACCCAUGAUGCACUUGAUUUUCAAACUAAUAGAUUUGGAAACAAUAAUAGUUUUGGUUUGUUUUUAUUCAACAGUAGUUGCAUAUCCUUAAUUUCCAAUAUAUUAAUCCAACAAUUACAGCAUAGCCUAAUAGACAUUCUUAUCUUUCACUCAUUCUUUGGGACAGUCUGUUACUUCUCUCCAAUUGCACAUGCAUGGUUUGAUCUUGCGGUGCACGUGUAGUGUAUUCAUGCCUGGCUGUAUAAACAUAAUUCAUUAACGGAUUGUUUAUUUUCUGCCUGGGAAUACUAACUGCUAGCAUAUACAUUUAUUUGCUGAUUCUAACAAGAUGCAUCGCUAUAUCAAUAAUAUAGUAAGCACCUCCUGAAGUUGUGAACUGUCCGGUGGUGCCCUUACAUUGUUGCAUGAUUGACCCUGAUGUCCUUCUCUUGCGGUAGAUGUUGCGCCGCGGAUUGGUCUCGAUGGCGUGCAAUAUUUAGUUUUUAAUUUCAUUGUGAGUUUUUUCUAUUUUCCUGGUUUUCCAAUGCUCCUAAAAUGUACUUCAAAAUGAGCCUGCAUGUAUUAAGUAUUCAGAGAGAUGGGGUACUAUGUAGACAUUCAUUGUGUUUGUUAUGUACCUGGACACCUGGUUGCUUUAAAAUCAUUCUGCCAGGUAUUGUUACUUUGAAAUCCUUCUCUUAAUAAUCAUUAUGUUCGACAGGUGCAUGAGCUUUCAGAUCUAAGGUUCACCGGCACACAAGAGUCACUUGGUUGUUUGAUGCGUUCGUGCUCGUCAGCGGGACGGCGAAAGGCGCAACUCCGAUGCGGUUCCUCGCCAGUUGGACGGCGUUCAAGCGCAACCCCGGCGCGCACUGAGUACUGCCUCGGCUACAACCUCCCUCGGUGAGCUCCAUCUUCCUAUGGGACAUGGCCAUGGCUAUAUUGAUGUGGGGCUCGUCUAGUUGAUGCUCUAUGCCCUACUCAUCCAUCGGUUCCUACUUGAGCUAUGUAGUUGUGGAUCCAUGCCAUUUUAGAGUUUGCAGGCUGUUGUUCAUGUUUAGUUGCUAUCAUGGGAGCUCAUGUGAUGCUCUGGUUUACAUGUGGAUGCCUUGGUCCUAUAGCUAUGUUCCUGGAUUUGCUAGAUUGAUCGGUGGCGUUCGUGCUAGGGCGAUGAUGAUUAAUCGUGGCUGAAAUAAGUGUAACUUUGAGCAAUCAUGGCACCUGUGCGUAUCAGGUUGGAUCCUCCCUCUUGUCUCUAGAAUCCUUUUUGAUCAUGUGAUACUUGUUGCUGUCCUUGGAUGGUCAUUCUUGUUGAGUGAUAACCAGGGCAGCUCCACUGUAUAAACAGAUUGAUCUGGUGAUAAGAGAUGACGGGGUAGGUUAUAUGAUCAAGGAAAGGCGAAUCUGAGCCCACUAUGCAAUGAACCAUGAAUCCUUUCUAUUUGUAUUUAAAGGUGUUGCUUAUCCAAAAACAAGAACCGAAGCAGACCACAGGCACUCCCAGAGCUCAGGCCCUCUCGGCCGUCCGAUCUAUUUCUUGAUGCGAUUCAAGCCGUCGAAUCUCGGGUUUGGCUCACGUGAGACAUCGCAUAUUUACCAGAUCGUUGUGAGCCGUUAGAUAAAAUUCCAAUUGAAACAAAAUGGAAAUACCAUGCCCCCAUCAAGGCAUUUGUGUCAUUUCGUGUACCGGCUAUAAAAUGACCGCGGCUUCCUGCGAUGAAAACCUAGCGGCCGCCUCCUCUCUCACUCGCUCCUGCAGCCGCCUCCCUCCCACACAGGUGGCUCCCACCAACCACGGCGGUAGUGGCCACGGAGGAGGGCAGCAGACCAGCGGCACCGGCGAUGGCGUCCGUGGCAGCUAUGCAAUGAACCUUGAACCAUUUUUAUUUGUAUUUAAAGGGGUUGCUUAUUUAUGCUCAAGUGGUGUUUGUGCUAGGGCGAUGGUGAUUACCUUGGCUGGAAUUAUUGUGCCUUUGAGCAAUCAAGGCACCUGUGGGUAUCAAGUUGGAUCCUCCCUCUUGUCUCUAGAAUCCUUUUUGAUCCUGUGAUACUUGUUGUUGUCCUUGGAUGGUCAUUCUUGUUGACUGAUAACCAGGGCAGCUCUACUGUAUAAAGAGAUUGAUCUGGUGAUAAGAGAUGAUGGGGGUAGGUUAUAUGAUCGAGGAAAGGUGAAUCUGAGCCCACUAUGCAAUAAAACUACAGGUACCUCCCCUAAUGUGUGUAGUAUUGAAGGCAAAAAAGAACUUUUCAUGUCUUGCUACUUUAAAAUUCCAAAAAGGUUCACUCUUCCUUUGCUGGUUACUUAACCAUGAUUUUUUUUUGCUUUGGUUCUGGUUGAGAUACUAAAGGUUGUUUAUAUAUGAAAAGAACAAACACUUGUAGUUUUGUAUGCCUCAACUGUUGCUUAGGAUCCAGUGUUGUAGUGCUUUUCCUAAUUACAAAUAACUCUAAUCAAUAAUAGUGGUUCUUUCCUUCUGAUUUGAACUGAGAGAGAACCACUAAUUCUUGAUCUUAAGGUGACCCCAUUUUUCUAUGCCUCAUGCUCAUGCUGCUCUAUGUUCCUUUUUAAAAAUUCUUGCUAGCAUUUUGGGUUGGUUUCUGCUCUAUGUUCCCUUUUAGCAUUUCUUUCCGUUGUUGCUGCACUCCCUUUUGGGCGUUCAUUUCAUGCCCAGGAUCUUGCAAAUUGUGCCUGUGCCGAGCUUGCUUUAGAGUACGUGUUGCGGAGAUGUCGAGGACCUCAAGGUCACCGAUGUUGUGGAGCUGGACGAGGUUUCUGGGCAGUUCAUUGACCGCCUGUUCUUCCUGGAGAAGGUGAUUUACUCUGCCAGGCGGCAGCACUCGAAGCACACAGGAUCCUGAACCUCAACAACAACCCCUACUUUUCUGGGCCCUAAUGUAAGAUCAAUCACGCCUGUUACUUCAAGCUAGAGUGUACUCUGAAGUAAUCUGAAGUCUGAAGAUUUGAUAGCUCUAGAUCAUCAUCAUGCAUGUUGCAACGGCCGUGACGGCGUCGAGGCUCGGGCGUGUGGCCGUCGACGUGGAGCAGUUAGAGGAGGAGCGACUACUACCCCAACGGCAGCCUCUUCUCCCUUGUCCACGUUCGGUUGGUGCCGUGGCGGAGGGUUGUCUUGUGGUUUGACCGGAGAGGGAGCACACCAAAGAAGCGAUCUCGUCCCCAUUGGUCAGAGUAAAAAGGACCGGAGGGAGUACAAUUUUGUUGACUUAUCUGGCAUUUUUUCGGCCGUGUGGAACCAGCACAUCUACAUGCGAAUCUCCAGGCUAUGGUACCAGUGGGGUGGCUUCGAUGAUGGCCCUAUCAAGAGUAUACAUGUGCUCUUCUAUAGGGAAAUCAUGCCAACAAGAUGGUGCCUAAUGAGGUCAUAGACAUGUUUGUGGACACUUUGCAUGAGAGAAAUUUAUACAAGUGUGCCAGGAUCCAUGUGAGGUUCCCUGUAACAAUUCUGAGGGCAGUGGAAGGCACGGAUACGUUAUGGUUCACUAGAUCAACAAUUGUCCAUCACCUUGAGGGUGUUCCAUUUGGUCAUGUCUGUUAACAUGCUUAGUUGCUUCUUCUUUAUUAUGUUAAUGCUCCAAUAACUUUCUCAUAGUAUAUCACUUUUGUUAUUAACCAUCGUAUUGAAUGGCUGCGCUUUUGAUUUCGAGCUUCCUGUCGAGCGACUUUUUUUAAUCUAAUGAACGAACUGAGAUUGAUUAUGCCUUA
Triticum dicoccoides is the source of this 4942-nucleotide long non-coding RNA. RefSeq lists it as uncharacterized. Lineage: Eukaryota; Viridiplantae; Streptophyta; Magnoliopsida; Poales; Poaceae. The transcript is spliced from 8 exons. The record is from RefSeq and is a predicted model, not a curated record.